GGAUAUAGCUCAGUUGGUAGAGUGCUUGCCUUGCAUGCACAAGGCCCUGGCUUCAAUCCCUGUUACCA
Molecule: transfer RNA, 68 nt
Filed under: Marmota monax (woodchuck)
Lineage: Eukaryota; Metazoa; Chordata; Mammalia; Rodentia; Sciuridae
Description: tRNA.Ala
Source: RNAcentral